Long non-coding RNA from Oncorhynchus keta (chum salmon), 151 nucleotides. RefSeq lists it as uncharacterized. The record is from RefSeq and is a predicted model, not a curated record. Lineage: Eukaryota; Metazoa; Chordata; Actinopteri; Salmoniformes; Salmonidae. The transcript has 3 exons.
CACAAUACAGCUGUUCUACCACAGGUAGGCCCCAGUACCCACAAUACAGCUGCUCUACAACAGGUAGGCCCCAGUACCCACAGUACAGCUGCUCUACAACAGGUAGGCCCCAGUACCCACAAUACAGCUGCUCUACAACAGGUAGACCCAG